GCUGACAAGGCGGGCAGAGCCACGGGCCCGGCCAGAAGGGACGGGCGGAGAAAUCGCUGCAAGCAAGAAGUCGCGCACAAAUACAGCGUUUCAGGUCGUCUGCCGGGACAGAGGUGCUGAAGCUGGCGGAGCUUCAUUGUUAAAGCCCUCCGGUUUCUGCCCUGCAGCUGGCUGCGGGUGAAUUUUUUGUGGUUGAACAAAUCCCAGCGGGACGGUGUCAGGCUCUCCCUGGCUGUUUCCCCACAACCCAGCAGAGCAUCAAUUUAAAAUUGUCACACGUAGGACCUGUGGAACCAGCCCCUGGAGGCUGUAAAGGAAGGAAGCAGAAGCAAACCACUGAACUGUACACAUUUGGUUUCACUGAGGAAAAAAAAGAAAGCUGUAGGUUUGUCGUCACAUGUGAUUAACUCUCUCUCACAAGGGAGAAAACACAACAGUGGAUUCCAGAGUCCUCCCAAAUGAUGGAGGAUUGAGGCACAGAAAUGUGAAAAGAUCUUCACAAGGUCACCUGGUGACAGGUCACAGUUUCAAAGUUCAGCUCUAGUGUGGCAACGUUGGCAUUUUUGAUGAAGCUUAGUUUUCCAGAAAAACAAACCCUAGUGUUAAGGGACACAGUCUAAAUAAAUUUGACUGAUAACCUUCAUACAAUUACAACAUUUUUUUGUGUGUACAUUUUAAUCACAUUUAACUUUAGGCUUGUAUACGAAGUGUGUAGUUAGAGAAGUUUGAGAUACUUCACCACUUGUGUCUGUCUCAUCAUCUUCCCAAAAGCCAUAAAAGUAGAUAGAAUUUCCCCACAGUUUUGUUUUUCCAAAACCUCAAUUAAACCUGAUUAGAAUCAGAAUCUCACUUGAAAAACUCUGUUAAUGGAACUUUUUCCCACAGCAAAAUGUUGAUGGUCUGAUGGCCGUGGUCUGAUGAUGGCUGUAGUCCAGAGGUAGUAAACAUAAUGAAGAAUAUAACCUAGGAAAGGAUGGAACCCAUCACAGUGCAAGAACAUGGGGUGUAGGCCUGGUGGCAGGAGAACAAAAGGUGAUCUUCUGUCACUGGGUUAGACCUGGUACAUAGGUCAUCAGACUGCGGGUUGGUUAUGCUCUAAGUGUUAUUUCACAUGGCUGUAAUGGAAGAAAAAUAAUUAGUUGCCCAGUUGUGUAAAAUACAGAGAACUGGAUUCAUCUGGUGGAGUGUGCUGGCAGAUGCCUAAUUAAAAUUCUUGUCCACCUGUAUUUUAAUUCUGUGCUUAUUCAUCUAGAUUUUCCAUUCAAAGGGGAAAUACAUCGCACAAUAAAGAAAAAUCAUCUUGGAGUGGCAGUUUUGCAAGCUUCUUUUAGCCCAAUCUCAUGUGAGGGAAUGGUUUCUUAUUUUUGGCAAUGGGUCUACUUUCUGUUUAAUUUUUGCUUAAAGAUUAUACAGUGUAACACAGAUAACACAUUCAUAAUAAAGUGCUUUAUAAA
Long non-coding RNA from Falco peregrinus (peregrine falcon), 1454 nucleotides. RefSeq lists it as uncharacterized. The transcript has 3 exons. Lineage: Eukaryota; Metazoa; Chordata; Aves; Falconiformes; Falconidae. The record is from RefSeq and is a predicted model, not a curated record.